RNAcentral lists this ribosomal RNA (253 nucleotides) under uncultured bacterium. RNAcentral's name for it is "partial 16S ribosomal RNA". It matches the Rfam family "Bacterial small subunit ribosomal RNA", at positions 524 to 776 of the family's 1533-position model. The record is from RNAcentral.
UACAGAGGGGGCAAGCGUUGUUCGGAAUUACUGGGCGUAAAGGGCGCGUAGGCGGCCAACUAAGUCGAACGUGAAAUCCCCGGGCUCAACCCGGGAACUGCGUCCGAUACUGGUUGGCUUGAAUCCGGGAGAGGGAUGCGGAAUUCCAGGUGUAGCGGUGAGAUGCGUAGAUAUCAGGUGGAACACCAGUGGCGAAGGCGGCUUUCUGGACGGUAACUGACGCUGAGGCGCGAAAGCGUGGGGAGCAAACAGG